GACGAACGCUGGCGGCGUGCCUAACACAUGCAAGUCGAACGGAGUUUAUGGAAGGGUAACCAGAAGUAAACUUAGUGGCGAACGGGUGAGUAACGCGUGAACAAUCUGCCUUCCAGAGGGGGAUAACGUUGGGAAACUGACGCUAAUACCGCAUAAGACCACAAUGCCGCAUGACGAAGAGGUCAAAGGAGCAAUCCGCUGGAAGAUGAGUUCGCGUCCCAUUAGGUAGUUGGUGAGGUAACGGCCCACCAAGCCGACGAUGGGUAGCCGAGCUGAGAGGCUGAUCGGCCACACUGGAACUGAGACACGGUCCAGACUCCUACGGGAGGCAGCAGUGGGGAAUAUUGGGCAAUGGGGGAAACCCUGACCCAGCAACGCCGCGUGAGGGAGAAGGUUUUCGGAUUGUAAACCUCUGUCGCAGGGGACGAAGAAUGACGGUACCUGUAAGAAGCCCGGCUAACUACGUGCCAGCAGCCGCGGU
RNAcentral lists this ribosomal RNA (481 nucleotides) under uncultured bacterium. RNAcentral describes it as "bacterial SSU rRNA". It matches the Rfam family "Bacterial small subunit ribosomal RNA", at positions 28 to 521 of the family's 1533-position model. The record is from RNAcentral.